AGCAGGCAUUGCGCCAAAUACAACAGGAACUACGGAGGCCGAAAGGAGGGGGUACACCUUCCUCGGUCCUUUCCCUCCCAGAAGCCCGCGGGCGGCUUGGAACCCCCGUCGGUAUCAUGGCCGCGGGAGCCGGGACAGCGGGCUCUGCUUCCGGCCCGGGCGUUGUGCGUGACCCGAUGGCGUCACAGCCAAGGAAACGGCCCAGUCGGGAGGGCGGGGAGGGCGCACGGCGAUCAGGCACGAUGGCGGGAGGAGGCGGGAGCAGCGACAGCGGCGGGCGGGCGGCAGGCCGGCGGGCAUCGCGCAGUGGCGGGCGGGCUCGACGGGGGCGGCACGAGCCGGGUCUGGGAGGCGCGACGGAGCGGGGCGCGGGGGAAACGCGGCUGGAGGAGGCAGUCAACCGCUGGGUGCUCAAGUUCUACUUCCACGAGGCGCUGCGGGCCUUUCGGAGUAGCCGGUACGGGGACUUCAGGCAGAUCCGGGACAUCAUGCAGGCGUUGCUUGUCAGGCCCUUGGGGAAGGAGCAUACGGUGUCCCGGUUGCUGCGAGUUAUGCAGUGCCUGUCGCGCAUUGAAGAAGGGGAAAAUUUAGACUGCUCCUUUGAUAUGGAGGCUGAGCUCACACCCCUGGAAUCAGCUAUCAAUGUCCUGGAGAUGAUUAAAACAGAAUUUACACUGACAGAAGCAGUGGUCGAAUCCAGUAGAAAACUGGUCAAAAAGGCUGCUGUCAUUAUUUGUAUCAAAAACAAAGAAUUUGAAAAGGCUUCAAAAAUUUUGAAAAAAUACAUGUCCAAGGACCCUACAACUCAGAAGCUAAGAACUGAUCUCCUGAACAUUAUCCGAGAAAAAAACUUGGCCCACCCUGUUAUCCAGAACUUUUCCUAUGAGACCUUCCAGCAGAAGAUGUUGCGUUUCCUGGAGAGCCACCUGGAUGACACAGAGCCCUACCUCCUCACGAUGGCCAAAAAGGCUUUGAAAUCCGAAUCUGCUGCUUCAAGUGCUGCAAAGGAGGAAAAGCAGCCAGUCCCAGAGGCAGUGGACAAGCCACUAAGAGAGCCUUCAAGACAGCCUCGGGACCCUCCGACCACCAUUGGGAUCGGGACUCUAAGAGCAGCUUUCAAAGCUCUGUCCACUGCACAAGACUCAGAAGCAGCUUUUGCAAAACUGGACCAGAAAGACCUGGUACUUCCUAAUCUACCAUCCCCGUCAUCACCAACCCACAAAAACAAGAGACCCAGGAAAGAUGAAAAUGAAAACUCAGCUCUCACUGAGGGUGAGGGAGGCUCAGAACUGCAGCCCAAGAGCAAUCGCAUGACAAUAAGCAGAUUGGUUUUGGAGGAGGACAGCCAGAAUUCUGAGGCCAGCCCAGGCCUCCACUCCUCCCCGGAGCCCAUGUCGGCAUCACCAUCCAAGUCCAGAGCUCUCAACCAACCCCAUACAGGGGAGAAGAAUCCCAAGUAUGAAGACCUUCUUUGUAGCAGUUUUGGGGCUGGUUGGCGGUCCUGGUUGGGCCUGGUUUUGCUUCCGUGAAUGAAGUUACUUCAGCUAAGUUGCUCUCCACCAAGGCUUGCUCAGACUGCUAGAACGAGACUGGAGCAGGGAGUGACUGUAGCAGUCCUUGAGUUCCCACGCCCCUGUAGGCUACACAGCACUGCCCUAGGGCGGGAGUAGGGAGGGAGGGUUUCUGAGCCUUCUGCCUGUCAAUCUAAGUGCUUCAAUGACUAUUUAUUAGUCUAUUUGUGAAAUUUGUCUGAGUUGGGCCUCAUCAUACUUGAUAUUUAUGAAAGAAUGAAUAUAGUUUUGUACCUAUGGGCGUAUGAGACUCAGCAAAUUCAGUAAAGAUUUCCUAAUCUCAUGUUCUGCCAGUUGCUAUGGAGCAGUGGUUAGGAUAUGUUUAUUCUAUUUUAUUCCCACCGUGACUGCCAGCCCAGGUUUUGAGUUUGGCUCCUUUCUGCCCUGCGUGGAUCCACCCUGCAGCACUGCUCUGCUCUCUCUCUCUGGAACAUACUGUUUGUUUCUCCUGUGCCUUCACUUCCUCUCAUUCCUAUGGUGGACUGUCAUUCUCCAUCAUUGCCUGUCAGAUUUCCAUGUGUUACCUAACUGACUCUCCAGUGCUAUCUCUGUGAGAGGAUGUUAGCCCUGUUGUGUAGUUGAGGAAGGCUCAGAAAAGUUAGUAGCUCACCUGACGUCACACAGCUGAAAAUAGCAAACCUGGGCUUUCGGUGUUAGCACCACAGCUGGGCCCAUACAUCAGUUGCCUCUCUUGACACUCUUAGCUCCCUGUGAGCUCUUCUCCGCUGCCCCUGUGUAAGUCAUCCGCCUCGCUGCUCUCCAAGGCCAUUGCCAUCUCUGUACACUGCUGGGUGCUGUGACUGUUUGGAGAGCCUGCUCUGACCUGCAAUGUGAAGGCCAUGGCCUGUGAUAACGUGGUUUCCUCCGGACAGAAUCGCACUGUAUGCGCCACUCUUGCAUGCAGAAACGAGCCGCAGGCAGACAUAGUUAAUGCAGCUCUACACUCCUCGUCCAUUCAUUUCUCACAGAAACCCUGUGAACUGUAGACACUGCCCCCAUGAGCAGCUGAAGAAACAAGACCAUUGCAGAUGCAGUAGGAUUGGAAACGGGAGUGUGUAUGACCGUUGCAGACGUGCCCCGUGCUGUAAUAUGUCCAGGGUCUAAAGUUUGAUGAGAACUGCGCAGCAAGAAUUGAGUAUCCAAAGACAAGUGGAACGGUCCUAACGGGCUUGAAGAAAAGGAAAUUUGGGUGGAAGAGGAC
This is an RNA transcript of Microtus ochrogaster (prairie vole), 2772 nucleotides long. It is a transcript of the gene named telomeric repeat binding factor 2, with no coding region annotated. Lineage: Eukaryota; Metazoa; Chordata; Mammalia; Rodentia; Cricetidae. The transcript is spliced from 8 exons. The record is from RefSeq and is a predicted model, not a curated record.